UGAGUAAACCGGGUGACCGCCCUGGAUUUAAUCUGCCAGGGAGGAAAGUCCGAGCUCCACCGAGCAGGGUGCUGGGUAACACCCAGGAGGGGUGACCCUACGGAAAGUGCCACAGAAACACACCGCCAGCGGCUGGUUUAGCCAGUACGGGUAAGGGUGAAAUGGUGAGGUAAGAGCUCACCAGCAACCAGGAGACUGGUUGGCUGGGCAAACCCCACCCGGAGCAAGACCGAAUAAGAGGGCUCAACUACUCCAAAGUCUGAGGACUCUGGGGUAAGUUUAAGGUGCUCGGCCGAAGCCCUCGGGUUGGUCGCUUGACCCUGAUGGCAACAUCAGGGCUAGAUGGAUGGUCACCACUCCAUGUGGAGUACAGAACUCGGCUUACAGGUUUACUCGCCCA
This 400-nucleotide RNase P RNA is filed under the name Dehalococcoidia bacterium. Its description in RNAcentral is "RNase P RNA component class A". It matches the Rfam family "Bacterial RNase P class A". Rfam says of the family: Ribonuclease P (RNase P) is a ubiquitous endoribonuclease, found in archaea, bacteria and eukarya as well as chloroplasts and mitochondria. Its best characterised activity is the generation of mature 5'-ends of tRNAs by cleaving the 5'-leader elements of precursor-tRNAs. Cellular RNase Ps are ribonucleoproteins. Lineage: Bacteria; Bacillati; Chloroflexota; Dehalococcoidia. The record is from RNAcentral.